GUUUAAGAGGUGUAAUCACGCCAUCUUUUCGAGAUGGAGAUGCUAUUUUUUUAGCCUUGAAUC
Molecule: transfer RNA, 63 nt
Filed under: Haloa japonica
Lineage: Eukaryota; Metazoa; Mollusca; Gastropoda; Cephalaspidea; Haminoeidae
Description: Haminoea japonica tRNA-Glu
Source: RNAcentral